AACCCAAAGAAUUUGGCGGUGUUUUAGUCUAUUUAGAGGAAUUUGUCCCAUAAUCGAUAAUCCUCGAUUAUCUUUCUUAGUUUUGUUUAUCAGUUAGUAUACCGCCGUUAUAAGUUUAUUUUUUUAGAAUUUUAAUUUACUAUAAAAUGUAUUUCUUUAUAUUUCAGGUCAAGGUGCAGCUUAUGAUUAAGUGGAGAUGAGUUACAAUAUUAUUUUAAUAUAUGGAUUUAUUAUUGAAAUAUUUUAAUGAAAGUGGAUUUAAUAGUAAUUUUGAUUAUCUUGUCAUUUUGAUUUUAGCUCUAAAAUAAGUACACAUCGCCCG
RNAcentral lists this ribosomal RNA (322 nucleotides) under Anisomorpha paromalus. RNAcentral describes it as "partial small subunit ribosomal RNA". Lineage: Eukaryota; Metazoa; Arthropoda; Insecta; Phasmatodea; Pseudophasmatidae. The record is from RNAcentral.